Molecule: long non-coding RNA, 979 nt
Organism: Symphalangus syndactylus (siamang)
Lineage: Eukaryota; Metazoa; Chordata; Mammalia; Primates; Hylobatidae
Source: RefSeq, a predicted model, not a curated record
CUCACUGCAGCCCCCGCCCCCCGGGUUCAAGUGAUUCUCCUGCCUCAGCCUCCCGAGUAGCUGGGAUUACAGGUGCCUGCCACCACGCCUGGCUAAUUUUUGUAUUUUUAGUAGAGAUGGGGGUUUCACCAUGUUGGCCAGGCUGGUCUUGAACUCCUGACCUCAGAUGAUCCACCCGCCACGGCCUCCCAAAGUGCUAGGAUUACAGGUAUGAGCCACCGCGCCCAGCCCAAAGUAUUUAUCUGUUUAUAAAAUAUGGAUUUGUAUUUCUCCAUAGAUGUAUUCAGUUGUCUUUUUUUCUAUUAAUCUGAUAUUAGUCCCUAACAUAGUGUAUUUUUCUUUGUCUAUUUAAACAGAGAAAGGGAGAUACAGAAGGUUGUGUGUAAAGCCAAAUUGUUCUGGAAAAAGUAAGAUCUAUACCAAAAAGAAGGCCAAUGACCACCUGAGGUUGUCACGUGGAACCGGAUGAAAAAAACAGCCUAUUGCUCUAUAGAAAUGCAAUGGGUUGGCCCAGAAUCCUGAGAGGAGGCUGCCUACCAGAUUGGAUCUCACAUCUCUGGGAAAUGAAGCUUCUAGGUAAAUGGAUUUCAGCCGUGGCUCUUGAGGAAACAUGCGCCCCAAGUCCAAACUAGUCAAAGCAUUCCAUGUCCCUAGCUACAGAGAUUUGUUCCUGGAGGGUGUGUGGAUCUGAUCCAGUCAGAGAGAACCUCAGGACUCUGGUGGAAAUGCUGGGACAGAGACGUUCUCUCCCUCUGGAUGGUAUAGUACGUCAAGGUUCUUUCUCUGUUGCCCCAGCUGGAGUGCUAUGGCUUGACCUUCUGGGCACAAGUGAUCCUCCUAUCUCAGCCUUCUGAAUAGCUGGGACUACAGACAUGUACCACCAUGCCUAGCUGGAAUAAUGUUUUUAAAUGCAUAAACUAGAAGUACAUAGAACUAAAAAGGAAACCAAUUAUAUUGACAUAAAGUUAUCAAAAUAUUU